This 308-nucleotide long non-coding RNA is filed under the name Vigna radiata. RNAcentral's name for it is "long non-coding RNA (VRAD_LNC010561)". Lineage: Eukaryota; Viridiplantae; Streptophyta; Magnoliopsida; Fabales; Fabaceae. The record is from RNAcentral.
UUCAGCUUCUUUAAGAAGAAUAGACGUCGGAUCCCAAUCAAACACUAACGUCUAUAGACGUCGGUUUCUGGCGCAACCGAUGCCCAAUUUCAUUUUAAAUAAACCGCAGACCCUUCUAACCACUCAGAUUUUGAUCGCAUCUUCAUCUCUUCUCCUUUUUCUCUGGUUCUCCUCUUCUUUUACUCCCUUGCGCACCUCUACUUUUUAUCUCUUCCGGCAUUGCAUUGUAUUUUGUCAUAACGUCAUUGUCUUCGUCCUCUCCUUUUUCUCUCUUCAUCCCAAGUGCGUGGUUUUUUCUUAUGCUUACC